This 1071-nucleotide ribosomal RNA is filed under the name Salmonella enterica subsp. enterica serovar Infantis. Its description in RNAcentral is "partial 23S ribosomal RNA". It matches the Rfam family "Bacterial large subunit ribosomal RNA", at positions 711 to 1773 of the family's 2925-position model. Lineage: Bacteria; Pseudomonadati; Pseudomonadota; Gammaproteobacteria; Enterobacterales; Enterobacteriaceae. The record is from RNAcentral. RNAcentral also lists the same sequence under 1 other name.
AGACCCGAAACCCGGUGAUCUAGCCAUGGGCAGGUUGAAGGUUGGGUAACACUAACUGGAGGACCGAACCGACUAAUGUUGAAAAAUUAGCGGAUGACCUGUGGCUGGGGGUGAAAGGCCAAUCAAACCGGGAGAUAGCUGGUUCUCCCCGAAAGCUAUUUAGGUAGCGCCUCGUGAAUUCAUCUCCGGGGGUAGAGCACUGUUUCGGCUAGGGGGCCAUCCCGGCUUACCAACCCGAUGCAAACUGCGAAUACCGGAGAAUGUUAUCACGGGAGACACACGGCGGGUGCUAACGUCCGUCGUGAAGAGGGAAACAACCCAGACCGCCAGCUAAGGUCCCAAAGUCAUGGUUAAGUGGGAAACGAUGUGGGAAGGCCCAGACAGCCAGGAUGUUGGCUUAGAAGCAGCCAUCAUUUAAAGAAAGCGUAAUAGCUCACUGGUCGAGUCGGCCUGCGCGGAAGAUGUAACGGGGCUAAACCAUGCACCGAAGCUGCGGCAGCGACACUCAGGUGUUGUUGGGUAGGGGAGCGUUCUGUAAGCCUGCGAAGGUGGCCUGUGAGGGUUGCUGGAGGUAUCAGAAGUGCGAAUGCUGACAUAAGUAACGAUAAAGCGGGUGAAAAGCCCGCUCGCCGGAAGACCAAGGGUUCCUGUCCAACGUUAAUCGGGGCAGGGUGAGUCGACCCCUAAGGCGAGGCCGAAAGGCGUAGUCGAUGGGAAACGGGUUAAUAUUCCCGUACUUGGUGUUACUGCGAAGGGGGGACGGAGAAGGCUAUGUUGGCCGGGCGACGGUUGUCCCGGUUUAAGCGUGUAGGUGUGUGUUCCAGGUAAAUCCGGUUCACUUUAACACUGAGGCGUGAUGACGAGGCACUACGGUGCUGAAGCAACAAAUGCCCUGCUUCCAGGAAAAGCCUCUAAGCAUCAGGUAACAUCAAAUCGUACCCCAAACCGACACAGGUGGUCAGGUAGAGAAUACCAAGGCGCUUGAGAGAACUCGGGUGAAGGAACUAGGCAAAAUGGUGCCGUAACUUCGGGAGAAGGCACGCUGACAUGUAGGUGAAGUGAUUUACUCAU